RNAcentral lists this ribosomal RNA (200 nucleotides) under uncultured bacterium. Its description in RNAcentral is "partial 16S ribosomal RNA". It matches the Rfam family "Bacterial small subunit ribosomal RNA", at positions 30 to 233 of the family's 1533-position model. The record is from RNAcentral.
AUUGAACGCUGGCGGCAGGCCUAACACAUGCAGGUCGAGCGCGAAAGUUCUUCGGAAUGAGUAAAGCGGCGGACGGGUGAGUAAUACAUGGGAAUCUGCCUGGUAGUGGGGGACAACGUUUCGAAAGGAACGCUAAUACCGCAUACGCCCUACGGGGGAAAGGGGGGGAUCUUCGGAUCUCUCGCUAUCAGAUGAGCCCA